GACGAACGCUGGCGGCGUGCUUAACACAUGCAAGUCGAACGGAAAGGCCCCUUUGGGGUUACUCGAGUGGCUAACGGGCGGGUAACACGUGAGUAACCUGCCCUUGACUUCGGUAUAACUUCAUUAAACUGGGGCUAAUACCGACUAGGAAUCCUUGCCGCAUGCUUGGGGUUGGAAAGCUUGGUGGGGUUUGGAUGGACUCGCGGCGUAUUAGUCUGUUGGUGGGGGAGUGGCUGACACAGGCUUUGAUUGGUAGCUGGCCUGUGAGGGCGACAGGCCACAUUGGGGCUGAGAGACGGCGCAGACUCCUACGGGGGGCAGCAGUGGGGAGUAUUGCACAAUGGGCGGGAGACUGAUGCAGAGACGCCGCGCGCGGGAGGACGGGCUUCUGGUUGUAAACAGCGUUCAGCAGGGGCGAAGCUUGUGGUGACGGUAACUGCAGAAGAAGCACCGGCUAACUACGUG
RNAcentral lists this ribosomal RNA (465 nucleotides) under uncultured bacterium. RNAcentral's name for it is "partial 16S ribosomal RNA". It matches the Rfam family "Bacterial small subunit ribosomal RNA", at positions 28 to 507 of the family's 1533-position model. The record is from RNAcentral.